Molecule: ribosomal RNA, 1368 nt
Filed under: Triticum aestivum (bread wheat)
Lineage: Eukaryota; Viridiplantae; Streptophyta; Magnoliopsida; Poales; Poaceae
Description: partial small subunit ribosomal RNA
Source: RNAcentral
AUGUACUCGUUGGAUAUUUUUGAGCAGUUAUGGGUGGUCGACCGGCUGAUGCGUCUAGGGAUAUCAAGGCACUUCACAAGUGAAAUUGAGCAGUCCCUAGAUUAUAUUUACAGGCGUUGGACUCAAAAGGGACUGGCUCAUAACGCGCACUGCCCUACCCUGGAUAUUGAUGACACGGCCAUGGGUUUCCGUCUCCUCCGUCAACAUGGCUACGACGUCACUCCAUGCGUGUUUAACCACUUUGAGGACAAAAAGGACGGCAAGUUCUUCUGCUUCCCAUUGGAGACCAACGAUGCAUCUGUCACCCCAAUGUACAACACUUACCGUGCUUCACAGUUCAUGUUCCCAGGUGACGAUGAUGUCCUGGCACGGGCUGGGCGCUAUUGUCGUGCAUUUCUCCAUGAAAGACAAGCCUCCAACAAACUGUAUGACAAGUGGAUCAUCACCAAGGACCUGCCAGGCGAGGUCGAGUACGCCCUGAACUUCCCCUGGAAAGCAAGUUUGCCACGAAUAGAAACAAGGAUGUAUCUGGAUCAGUAUGGAGGCAACACGGAUGUUUGGAUUGCUAACGUCCUCUACAGAAUGAAUCUUGUGAGCAACGACCUGUACCUUGAAAUGGCAAAAGCUGACUUCAGAGAAUAUCAAAGACUCUUCCGACUUGAGUGGAAUGGCCUCAGAAAGUGGUAUUUGAGGAACCAUCUGCAGAAGUAUGGUGGAACAUCAAAGAGCGCGCUCACGGCUUACUUCUUAGCUUCAGCAAACAUCUUCGAAUCUGGCCGAGCAGCAGAGCGUCUAGCAUGGGCUCGCACGUGGGUGCUUGCCAAGGCGGUGACCUCUCACUUCAGACAUACUGGGGGCACAAAGGAUUCAACAAAGAAUCUUGAAGAACUUGUCGACAUUGUUUCAUUCCACGACGACUCUUCCGGCAGUCUUCGCGACGCUUGGAAGCAGUGGCUCAUGGCAUGGACUGCAAAGGAGAGCCAUGGAUUAAUUGAAGGAGAUACAGCUGUGUUGUUGGUUCGCACAGUCCAGAUCUGCUCAGGAAGGCAUGUUUCAGCCGAGCAGAAACUGAACCUUUGGGAGUAUUCCCAGCUCGAACAACUCACCUCUUCCAUCUGCCGCAAACUUGCCACAAGAGUUCCCGCUCAGAAUGGGGAAAAUAUGGAGAAUACAGAAAACUUAGACCGGCAAGUGGACAUGGAGAUGCAAGACCUAUCUUGGAGAAUUCAUCAGGGUUGCCAUGGCAUCAACAGACACACCAGGCAGACAUUUCUCCACGUGGUGAAAAGCUUCUACUACUCGGCUCAUUGCUCACUUGAAACAGUUGAUAGUCAUAUAGCAAAGGUCGUCUUCCAGGAUGUCAUUUAG